GACCAUGGAUGUCCAGGAGUUCCUCCCCGCCGCCAAUAGGUGUCCUCGUCGCCCUCUGGUGCCGGGAAGCCCCGGAUCCGGUAGCCCUCGUCCCGAUCUACCCAUUCCCGGUUGGAACUCGCCGGCAGGGCCCGUCCCCGUCGUGCCCUUGGCCGUUGACCAUCGGCCUGACUUCGUAGCUCCACCAACCGAUAGAUCUGGCCACAGGUGAGCCUCCGCGCCGCGCCAUAUAGUUGUACCAAACGAAUCUGUGUUAGGACAGAACCUCCCUCGUAGUCCAACUGGCAAGGAAGGAGAUGCUCAUCCAAGAGCUCUCGGGUUCGAAACCCCACGACUGCACAUUCU
This 345-nucleotide long non-coding RNA is filed under the name Hordeum vulgare. RNAcentral describes it as "long non-coding RNA (HVUL_LNC000757)". The record is from RNAcentral. Lineage: Eukaryota; Viridiplantae; Streptophyta; Magnoliopsida; Poales; Poaceae.